GUUUGAUCCUGGCUCAGGACGAACGCUGGCGGCGUGCCUAACACAUGCAAGUCGAACGGAGUUGAAAGGAGCUUGCUUUUUUCAACUCAGUGGCGGACGGGUGAGUAACGCGUGAGUAACCUGCCUUUCAGAGGGGGAUAACGUUCUGAAAAGAACGCUAAUACCGCAUAAGAUUGUAGUUUCGCAUGGAGCAGCAAUCAAAGGAGCAAUCCGCUGAAAGAUGGACUCGCGUCCGAUUAGAUAGUUGGCGGGGUAACGGCCCACCAAGUCGACGAUCGGUAGCCGGACUGAGAGGUUGAUCGGCCACAUUGGGACUGAGACACGGCCCAGACUCCUACGGGAGGCAGCAGUGAGGGAUAUUGGGCAAUGGGGGAAACCCUGACCCAGCAACGCCGCGUGAGGGAUGACGGUUUUCGGAUUGUAAACCUCUGUCCUCUGUGAAGAUAGUGACGGUAGCAGAGGAGGAAGCUCCGGCUAACUACGUGCCAGCAGCCGCGGUAAUACGUAGGGAGCAAGCGUUGUCCGGAUUUACUGGGUGUAAAGGGUGCGUAGGCGGAUUGGCAAGUCAGAAGUGAAAUCCAUGGGCUUAACCCAUGAACUGCUUUUGAAACU
RNAcentral lists this ribosomal RNA (612 nucleotides) under uncultured bacterium. RNAcentral describes it as "bacterial SSU rRNA". It matches the Rfam family "Bacterial small subunit ribosomal RNA", at positions 11 to 634 of the family's 1533-position model. The record is from RNAcentral.